This is a long non-coding RNA of Triticum aestivum (bread wheat), 2357 nucleotides long. RefSeq lists it as uncharacterized. Lineage: Eukaryota; Viridiplantae; Streptophyta; Magnoliopsida; Poales; Poaceae. The transcript is spliced from 2 exons. The record is from RefSeq and is a predicted model, not a curated record.
UCUCCAGUUACCAAUCCCAGCGGCGCCGACGCCAAUCCUGUGCUCGCCAUAGGUCACCGUUGGUCUCCCAUCUUCCCUAGCGCCGGCCCCCAUUGGGAGCCACGCGUAGAGGCCAUGAACAAGGCGGGCCGGCGACAUAAAUCAAGCCGCGGCGGCGUGGUGUUCCCAUCGUGACAUGUGCUUCUCCCGGCGGCCGAGCGGCUCCUCGACGUCCAUGAGGUCCCCCACCUUGGCCUCCUCCACCAGUGUACAUCAGGUUUCGUCGGCGAUGCGAAUACUACGGCCGAGCCUAGCUGGGCCUGCAGCGCAAGCACCCGUGCGACUGGCAUCGUCAACGCGGCUUCCAACUCGGCGAAGAGGGGCGCACAGCGCGAGAUACCGUGUUGUUCUUCUUGUCAGGAGACGUCAAUGCGGUGGCCUUGCUGAUCUGAGCCUGGAUGUUGAGCAACCGCACGACCAUGGUCGACGCGGUACCGGUCAUGUCGAGGGACGGCAAUAGCGUGCGCACCGCAGUGCGGCCGCUGUCCGCCGAGGAGCUCUACGGGGGACGGUCUGCGAUGUCGCCGCGGUCGACAUCGGACCCCAUGGACAUAGCGGCCAGAAGACUGCACGCACAGAGCUCAAGCUGUUGGCGCGGUGGCGGCACCGGCGCUUGCGUCGGAGCAGCUUCGGCUUCAGCGGCUGCCACAGCUGCUGCGCCCUCGGCUAGCCCCUGAAGAGCGCGAGCCCGCCGCUGCACUGGUUGCACUCCCUCUGCAUGGUCCACGCGCCGAGUUUUCGACCUCGACCACGCCCAACCGUCCGGUGGCAGCCAUGGACCGCGACCUCCCCGAUCAUGCCCCACCAUCUCACGUUCCCUCCUCGCCUCUAGAGCUCCGCUGUUGCUUCCGUCUCGGCCGUCAGCCGUUGGCAUCACCGCCAUCGUCUUCACCUUGGUGCAACCAUCUCCUUCUUGGCUUGAACAUACACUGAAUAUUUCAGGCUUGCAUUCAGUAUUUGUUAUGUUGAUCACCUUGCUCUGCUCUUCCUUUGAGAAACACCAAUGCGGCUUAUAUGUCUCAGCACACUAUAUACCCAAGUUAUGACAUUAUCCAAGCAACGCACUCUGGAGAAAACCCGAUCCUUUUCUGAUUUCAGUGAUCCAGUGAUGGACUCAAAAUUCUGAUACGUACCAACUACUAUUUCUUUUCUUUUUCUUGAAAAGGACUAACUACUAUUUCUCUGUGUUGGUGGCAACUUUUAAACAGUGUCUUCACACAUUAGCGAUUUUUACUUGUAAGCACAUGCCAAUUCAGUUUGCAGAAUGAAAUCUUAUAUGACAUUGUGAUUUGCUUACACUCAACACAGCUAUAGCAAAAUGACAUACGGAUUGUAAGUGAUUAGUCAGAGUCAGUGACAUCCGGUUAGUAACCUGAUAUAAUGAGCAUCUUUACGUUUUUGGUUCCUGACCAUUAAGCCCACAAGUGAGAAACUGCUGUUUUGAAGUCAGGACUAUCUUUUUUCUCAGUGGGAAGUGCUUUUUCUUGCCCUUUCUGUACACCAGCAACUAGAUGCACCAUCAGAGUGGCUGUGAGGCAGUAACGUUGAAUCUGAACUUGGCGAAUUUGUGUUCUAGCGCCAUUGAAUAUCAGGUUGGUUAAAGAUCGAACAUUAGAAUUCAUGAACAUCUUUCCGGCAAAUACAAAUCAAGUUGUCUAUAGAUGGGAUGCCGCUAUGCCUGCUUUGAUGAUUACUAAAGAUUUGACAAAGGGUUAUUGUUGUAUGGACAUUUUCUUCUGUUAUCUUUGUUGAGGUGUUAUCACAACAACGUUUUUUGGUUAAUUAUUGUUCUGUGACUUAACAAAUAUGUGUUGUUAGUGAAGUGCAUAUUGCUGAAGUAGAUGUUGUAUAUGACCAUCAUACUGCAAUGAAAGGCAGCACCGCCACAAUGAAUGAUAGGUACGAUUCCAGGAAAAGCAAUAUCUGAUUUUAACUCUAAUAACUUAGAAUCAAUGAUAGGUUUAGACGGGUUCACUUAGAGCUUUGGCUAUUUUUUAAUGCUAAUAUUUGGUUCACAUCGAAAAAUAAUUUGUAUUAGUACCUCAUAUGUGCCGAUAAAAGGAUACACUAUAUUCAACGAAACUACUUCACAGCCGAUGCGAAAUGGACGAUUCAUGGACGAUUGAUGAUCAAAUGGCCGUGCUGGACUUCAUUCAAUAUUUUGAUGGCUGGAUGUGUAGAAUCGUGCAGCAGUCGUGCAUGGGUGUCGUUUGUGUAGCACUACUGAUAUUCAAAGGUAUGCUGGGAGCUAUAAUAUGUACAUGUCAAACACCAUUAACAUUUAGGCUCGAUAAUUAAUAUAAACUUUUCUUGAUCCA